RNAcentral lists this ribosomal RNA (253 nucleotides) under uncultured bacterium. RNAcentral describes it as "partial 16S ribosomal RNA". It matches the Rfam family "Bacterial small subunit ribosomal RNA", at positions 524 to 776 of the family's 1533-position model. The record is from RNAcentral.
UACGAGGGGUGCAAGCGUUGCUCGGAAUUAUUGGGCGUAAAGGGUAGGUAGGUGGUCUCAUUUGUCUGGGGUGAAAGCCUUGAGCUUAACUCAAGAAGUGCCCUAGAAACGGUGAGACUGGAGUCCUGGAGAGGGUCGUGGAAUUCCCGGUGUAGCGGUGAAAUGCGUAGAGAUCGGGAGGAACACCAGCGGCGAAGGCGGCGACCUGGACAGGUACUGACACUCAACUACGAAAGCAUGGGGAGCAAACAGG